CUUCCCCCAGGCGCUGGGGCAGGGCGGGGGCGCUCAGGGGGCGGGUUUCACAGCCCCCGUUUGGCUGGCAGAGGGUCGGAGUCCCGGAGCCAGGCCAGGGACACCCCCCGCCCCCGGGGCCAGAGCGCCCCUGGCUCCCUUCCUGUGCAGCAGCCCAUGAGGAAGCAGCCCAGUGGCCGUGGCCCAGGCCUGGACAGCAGGGGAGCCCGGUUCUGUUCUAGUCUUGGCUCUGCCACAUGUUCACUGGGUGUCCUUGGUUGAGUCACUCACACCCUGUGCCUCAGUGUCCCCUGCUGGGGCUGUUUACUUACCCGUGCCUGGAGGAGUCAUUAGCUCUGGUCUGACUGGGCUUCCCAGUGACUAGUGGGUGCGGUGGCCACACUCCCAGCCCUAGAGAAACAGGCCCAGCAGUCACUGGCUCACCACCCAGGUGGGGGGGAGGGGCGAUUACCUCCCUGGGUUGUUUCUCCCUGACUAACCCUUUCCUUUCUCAGAACUGAAUCGCUCCCAGUACCGGGCUAACCCCCCACCAAUUUCCUCUCCCAACUCAGCACUGCCACCUAAACCCUGGUCUGGGCACAUGGCUACAGGCAGGGGAGAAGGGCGCCAUCUAGCGAGCACACCUGUGGCCUGCACAAGUUAUUAAACCGUACACAUCUGGAGCAAGGCUACAGGCGUGGGGCAGACGCUCAGGACCUAGAGAGCACAAAGAUCUGCAGUGACCCCUGUGGCUAAUCUCAAACAACGGUUUUGUGCGCUCCUGAGAUCUAUACCUCCACCCCCACCGCAGGACAUUUGCCCCAGUGCUGACAUGGGCAAAGAAAAAUCCUGGUCCCUGUUUUUCAGAGCAAAGAACUUCCGAUUUCUCUCCAUCACUCUCCAUGCAAAUCCUCAAGACUCACAGCUUAGCCCCUCUUCCCCUCCACUGGGAGUGGAUGGGCAGCACCCUUGGGGGGCCCCGCUCGGACUGCACGGCCAGCAGGCAAUAGCCUUCCUGCCCAGCGUCUCACCUGUUUCUCAAAGCGUUUGGAGGGAGGAUAAGACACAAUGAGCAGAGCCAGACUAAAGCUACCACCAUCCAGCCUCUGCUUGCUGCUCUCAGAAACCAAAGCGGCCUGUAGGAAUGUCCCUGUCCCUGGAGGCUGGCAGAACAGGUCCAACCACCGUUUGCUGCCCACCGGCUGACAGGAGCUCCUGGAAACUGAGAGAUUAACCAGGGGUGGCCGUAUGAGAGCAGGCUGGGAAAUGCCAUUAGAACACUGGACACAUCUGGAGUUUGUUGCUGUCCCACCCGGUCUGGCAUGCUGGGUACAUGGCCCAUGGCGUUUGGCUGAGAAUGGAACAAAGCGGCCUGGAAUUUCACCAGCUCCCUAGGGAUUUUCUACUUCUCGAGUCCCUCCCCUCCCUCUUCCUGAUGUUACCAUCCCUUCACACAGAAGAGAUCGGAUUAUGG
This is a long non-coding RNA of Mauremys mutica (yellowpond turtle), 1453 nucleotides long. RefSeq lists it as uncharacterized. The record is from RefSeq and is a predicted model, not a curated record. The transcript has 4 exons. Lineage: Eukaryota; Metazoa; Chordata; Testudines; Geoemydidae.